CUGCUAGGUUACUUCAUUACAUGACGUCUUUUACGCAGGAACCGAGUGUGAUCGUCUGGGCGGUGUGUUCACUCUGCGGGGAUGAUGGCCAGAGGAAGGAUGAUAGACAGACGACAGCUUGCAGAAGAAGAUGGGAGCGUUCUACCUGUGAGCCUGGUCGAGUUUAUAUUUUAUGGAUACACAUGCAUGGAUACACAUACAUGGAUUCCCUACAAGGACCCUGCGCAUCAAAAGCAAUCUUUCAUCAACGUUAAGUAGACAGAUUAAACGAAAUGAAGAUAUGACAGGUGUACACCAUAUUUUUCUUCCAUUUAACCUCAGCAUGUUUCCCAGUCAAUAAAUGUUUUUAUC
Long non-coding RNA from Rhipicephalus sanguineus (brown dog tick), 351 nucleotides. RefSeq lists it as uncharacterized. NCBI's taxonomy places the organism in Eukaryota, Metazoa, Arthropoda, Arachnida, Ixodida, Ixodidae. The transcript is spliced from 3 exons. The record is from RefSeq and is a predicted model, not a curated record.